AGAGUUUGAUCCUGGCUCAGGACGAACGCUGGCGGCGUGCUUAACACAUGCAAGUCGAACGAUGAUGCACCAGCUUGCUGGUGUGGAUUAGUGGCGAACGGGUGAGUAACACGUGAGUAACCUGCCCCUGACUCUGGGAUAAGCGCUGGAAACGGUGUCUAAUACUGGAUAUGACUCAUGACCGCAUGGUCUGUGGGUGGAAAGGGUUUUACUGGUUGGGGAUGGACUCGCGGCCUAUCAGCUUGUUGGUGAGGUAAUGGCUCACCAAGGCGACGACGGGUAGCCGGCCUGAGAGGGUGACCGGCCACACUGGGACUGAGACACGGCCCAGACUCCUACGGGAGGCAGCAGUGGGGAAUAUUGCACAAUGGGCGAAAGCCUGAUGCAGCAACGCCGCGUGGGGGAUGACGGCCUUCGGGUUGUAAACCUCUUUUGUCAGGGAAGAAGCUUCUUGUAAGUGACGGUACCUGGAGAAAAAGCACCGGCUAACUACGUGCCAGCAGCCGCGGUAAUACGUAGGGUGCGAGCGUUGUCCGGAAUUAUUGGGCGUAAAGAGCUCGUAGGCGGUUUGUCACGUCUGCUGUGAAAUCUGGAGGCUCAACCUCCAGCCUGCAGUGGGUACGGGCAGACUAGAGUGCGGUAGGGGAGAUUGGAAUUCCUGGUGUAGCGGUGGAAUGCGCAGAUAUCAGGAGGAACACCGAUGGCGAAGGCAGAUCUCUGGGCCGCUACUGACGCUGAGGAGCGAAAGGGUGGGGAGCAAACAGGCUUAGAUACCCUGGUAGUCCACCCCGUAAACGUUGGGAACUAGAUGUGGGGGCCUUUCCACGGUCUCCGUGUCGCAGCUAACGCAUUAAGUUCCCCGCCUGGGGAGUACGGCCGCAAGGCUAAAACUCAAAGGAAUUGACGGGGGCCCGCACAAGCGGCGGAGCAUGCGGAUUAAUUCGAUGCAACGCGAAGAACCUUACCAAGGCUUGACAUAUACGAGAACGGGCCAGAAAUGGUCAACUCUUUGGACACUCGUAUACAGGUGGUGCAUGGUUGUCGUCAGCUCGUGUCGUGAGAUGUUGGGUUAAGUCCCGCAACGAGCGCAACCCUCGUUCUAUGUUGCCAGCACGUAAUGGUGGGAACUCAUGGGAUACUGCCGGGGUCAACUCGGAGGAAGGUGGGGAUGACGUCAAAUCAUCAUGCCCCUUAUGUCUUGGGCUUCACGCAUGCUACAAUGGCCAGUACAAUGGGCGGCGAUACCGUGAGGUGGAGCGAAUCCCAAAAAGCUGGUCCCAGUUCGGAUCGUAGUCUGCAACUCGACUACGUGAAGUCGGAGUCGCUAGUAAUCGCAGAUCAGCAACGCUGCGGUGAAUACGUUCCCGGGCCUUGUACACACCGCCCGUCAAGUCAUGAAAGUCGGUAACACCCGAAGCCGGUGGCCUAACCCUUGUGGAGGGAGCUGUCGAAGGUGGGACCGGUAAUUAGGACUAAGUCGUAACAAGGUAGCCGUACCGGAAGGUGCGGCUGGAUCACCU
Molecule: ribosomal RNA, 1520 nt
Filed under: Microbacterium sp.
Lineage: Bacteria; Bacillati; Actinomycetota; Actinomycetes; Micrococcales; Microbacteriaceae
Also listed under: 1 other name
Description: bacterial SSU rRNA
Rfam family: Bacterial small subunit ribosomal RNA
Source: RNAcentral